This 71-nucleotide transfer RNA is filed under the name Fidelibacterota bacterium. Its description in RNAcentral is "tRNA-Gly". It matches the Rfam family "tRNA". From Rfam's summary of the family: Transfer RNA (tRNA) molecules are approximately 80 nucleotides in length. Lineage: Bacteria; Pseudomonadati; Fidelibacterota. RNAcentral also lists the same sequence under 1 other name. The record is from RNAcentral.
GCGGGUGUCGCAUAGUGGUAGUGCCUCAGCUUCCCAAGCUGAUGGGAGGAGUUCGAUUCUCCUCACCCGCU